GGUUCACAAUGCCGGAGAGGGUGACAAUGCGACGCCGCGUGAGCGAUGAAGGCCUUCGGGUUGUAAAGCUCUGUCAGCACGGAUGAAAGCAAAGAGGUUAACAACCUUUUUGAUUGACGGUACGAGCAGAGGAAGCCACGGCUAACUCCGUGCCAGCAGCCGCGGUAAUACGGAGGUGGCAAGCGUUGUUCGGAUUCACUGGGUGUAAAGGUCAUGUAGGCGUCCAAUUAAGUCGGGUGUGAAAUACAUUGGCUCAACCAAGGAACUGCAUUCGAUACUGGUCGGAUUGAGUACGGGAGAGGUAAGCGGAAUUCCGGAAGUAAGGGUGAAAUCUGUAGAUAUCCGGAAGAACACCAUUACCGAAGGCGGCUUACUGGUCCGAUACUGACGCUGAAAUGAAAAAGCUAGGGGAGCAAACAGGAUUAAAUAUCCUGGUAGUCCUAGCCGUAAACGAUGGGCACUAAGUAGAGGGGUUUU
Molecule: ribosomal RNA, 477 nt
Filed under: uncultured bacterium
Lineage: Bacteria
Description: bacterial SSU rRNA
Rfam family: Bacterial small subunit ribosomal RNA
Source: RNAcentral